AUGAAGGACCGCGCCGGCUUCCACUUCUCCAUCGGCUGCAUGUCGCAGUCCGCCGUCGCCGUCGCCGACCCGCUCCGCAAGAAGCCACCAGCACCGGCGCCGCAGCAGCAGGCCGAUAACCCCUCCUCCUCCUCCAUCACCACACAGGACAGAGCACCCCGAGAGGAAGGGACCGGCGGUGAUGAGAAGGCAAAAGAAGGGAUCGUCGCAGCAGGGGUGCAGCGGCUGCUCAAGGGGAUCAAGACCUUCUUCGCGGCGUACGACGGCGAGGAAGAAGAAGAGGAGGAGGAGCGGGAGAUCGUGAUCGGGUACCCCACGGACGUGCAGCACGUCGGGCACAUCGGCUGGGACGGUCUCAACAAGGUGGGCGGCAUGGGCAUGGUCGGCGCCUUCUCUGUGCCCUCCUCCCUCCCUCUCCGCCAGCUCGAGAUCGCCAUGGACCCCGGCGCCGCAACCACCACCUGCACCAACUGA
This 474-nucleotide ribosomal RNA is filed under the name Triticum aestivum (bread wheat). Its description in RNAcentral is "partial small subunit ribosomal RNA". The record is from RNAcentral. Lineage: Eukaryota; Viridiplantae; Streptophyta; Magnoliopsida; Poales; Poaceae.